This 1332-nucleotide ribosomal RNA is filed under the name uncultured bacterium. RNAcentral describes it as "bacterial SSU rRNA". It matches the Rfam family "Bacterial small subunit ribosomal RNA", at positions 28 to 1381 of the family's 1533-position model. The record is from RNAcentral.
GACGAACGCUGGCGGCGCGCCUAACACAUGCAAGUCGAACGAGCGAGAGAGAGCUUACUUUCUCGAGCGAGUGGCGAACGGGUGAGUAACGCGUGAGGAACCUGCCUCAAAGAGGGGGACAACAGUUGGAAACGACUGCUAAUACCGCAUAAGCCCACGGCUCGGCAUCGAGCAGAGGGAAAAGGAGCAAUCCGCUUUGAGAUGGCCUCGCGUCCGAUUAGCUAGUUGGUGAGGUAACGGCCCACCAAGGCGACGAUCGGUAGCCGGACUGAGAGGUUGAACGGCCACAUUGGGACUGAGACACGGCCCAGACUCCUACGGGAGGCAGCAGUGGGGAAUAUUGCACAAUGGGGGAAACUCUGAUGCAGCGACGCCGCGUGGAGGAAGAAGGUCUUCGGAUUGUAAACUCCUGUUGUUGAGGAAGAUUAUGACGGUACUCAACAAGGAAGUGACGGCCUACUACGUGCCAGCAGCCGCGGUAAAACGUAGGUCACAAGCGUUGUUCCGAAUUACUGGGUGUAAAGGGAGCGCAGGCGGGAAGACAAGUUGGAAGUGAAAUCCAUGGGCUCAACCCAUGAACUGCUUUCAAAACUGUUUUUCUUGAGUAGUGCAGAGGUAGGCGGAAUUCCCGGUGUAGCGGUGGAAUGCGUAGAUAUCGGGAGGAACACCAGUGGCGAAGGCGGCCUACUGGGCACCAACUGACGCUGAGGCUCGAAAGUGUGGGUAGCAAACAGGAUUAGAUACCCUGGUAGUCCACACUGUAAACGAUGAUUACUAGGUGUUGGAGGAUUGACCCCUUCAGUGCCGCAGUUAACACAAUAAGUAAUCCACCUGGGGAGUACGACCGCAAGGUUGAAACUCAAAGGAAUUGACGGGGGCCCGCACAAGCAGUGGAGUAUGUGGUUUAAUUCGACGCAACGCGAAGAACCUUACCAAGUCUUGACAUCCUGCGACGCACAUAGAAAUAUGUGUUUCCUUCGGGACGCAGAGACAGGUGGUGCAUGGUUGUCGUCAGCUCGUGUCGUGAGAUGUUGGGUUAAGUCCCGCAACGAGCGCAACCCUUAUGGUCAGUUACUACGCAAGAGGACUCUGGCCAGACUGCCGUUGACAAAACGGAGGAAGGUGGGGAUGACGUCAAAUCAUCAUGCCCUUUAUGACUUGGGCUACACACGUACUACAAUGGCGUUAAACAAAGAGAAGCAAGACCGCGAGGUGGAGCAAAACUCAGAAACAACGUCCCAGUUCGGACUGCAGGCUGCAACUCGCCUGCACGAAGUCGGAAUUGCUAGUAAUCGCAGAUCAGCAUGCUGCGGUGAAUACGUUCCCGGGCCU